AGGGUUUGAUUAUGGCUCAGGAUGAACGCUGGCGGCGUGCUUAACACAUGCAAGUCGAACGGGAUCCAUCGGGCUUUGCCUGGUGGUGAGAGUGGCGAACGGGUGAGUAAUGCGUGACCGACCUGCCCCAUGCACCGGAAUAGCUCCUGGAAACGGGUGGUAAUGCCGGAUGCUCCAUCACACCGCAUGGUGUGUUGGGAAAGCCUUUGCGGCAUGGGAUGGGGUCGCGUCCUAUCAGCUUGAUGGCGGGGUAACGGCCCACCAUGGCUUCGACGGGUAGCCGGCCUGAGAGGGCGACCGGCCACAUUGGGACUGAGAUACGGCCCAG
Molecule: ribosomal RNA, 328 nt
Filed under: uncultured bacterium
Lineage: Bacteria
Description: bacterial SSU rRNA
Rfam family: Bacterial small subunit ribosomal RNA
Source: RNAcentral